ACGGAGGAUCCGAGCGUUAUCCGGAUUUACUGGGUUUAAAGGGUGCGUAGGCGGGCGCUUAAGUCAGCGGUGAAAUGCGGGGGCUCAACCUUCGAACGGCCGUUGAUACUGGGUGCCUUGGAUUCGGUCGAGGCAGGCGGAAUGCGACAUGUAGCGGUGAAAGGCUUAGAUAUGACGCAGAACACCGAUUGCGAAGGCAGCUCGCCGGGCCGAUAUUGACGCUGAGGCACGAGAGCGUGGGGAUCGAACAG
This 251-nucleotide ribosomal RNA is filed under the name uncultured prokaryote. RNAcentral's name for it is "partial 16S rRNA". It matches the Rfam family "Bacterial small subunit ribosomal RNA", at positions 525 to 775 of the family's 1533-position model. The record is from RNAcentral.